UACGUAGGGUGCGAGCGUUGUCCGGAAUCAUUGGGCGUAAAGCGCGUGUAGGCGGUCCGGUAAGUCCGCUGUGAAAGUCGGGGGCUCAACCCUCGGAUGCCGGUGGAUACUGUCGGGCUUGAGUACGGAAGAGGCGAGUGGAAUUCCUGGUGUAGCGGUGAAAUGCGCAGAUAUCAGGAGGAACACCAAUUGCGAAGGCAGCUCGCUGGGACGUUACUGACGCUGAGACGCGAAAGCGUGGGGAGCGAACGGG
This 253-nucleotide ribosomal RNA is filed under the name uncultured bacterium. Its description in RNAcentral is "partial 16S ribosomal RNA". It matches the Rfam family "Bacterial small subunit ribosomal RNA", at positions 524 to 776 of the family's 1533-position model. The record is from RNAcentral.